Helianthus annuus (common sunflower) is the source of this 2123-nucleotide RNA transcript. It is a transcript of the gene named phosphoinositide phosphatase SAC8, with no coding region annotated. The record is from RefSeq and is a predicted model, not a curated record. NCBI's taxonomy places the organism in Eukaryota, Viridiplantae, Streptophyta, Magnoliopsida, Asterales, Asteraceae. The transcript is spliced from 20 exons.
GGAAUGAUCCUAUAAAGAAAUUGGAUAAGAACAAAUGAGUUGUAUUUAUUUAUUUUCGUAAGUGAUUGGAUCACCUAAUCUCCCCAAAUUAAUUAGCCAGCCCUCCUUGUUCGUUUGAUCAUCAACUACCCAUAGUUUUUCAAUCAUUCAAUUUUUCUUUCAUUUUUGCCAGCAGCAUAAUAAUGGAAAUCGAAACAGAUUCUUCAACGGAAAAGAAGCAUUUCAAAGUAUUCAGCGAACUGGAGUUGCAAGAAUUUCAAGACAAAUUCGUCAUCAGAUCACUUCAAUUCCCCGAUCGAGCCUUUUCUAUCGCUCGCUCCGAUGGAACCUUUCACGUCAAUGUAACAGGUGAAGUUGUUAAUCUGGAAGGUGCUUCCAAGGUUUAUACUGUUUUCGGAAUUGCCGGAUCAAUUCGGUUGCUUGCAGGAACAUACGUAUUGGUUAUCACUUCUCGCAAAGAGGUUGGCGCUUACCUUGGUUACCCCGUCUUCCGAGUCAUGUCUAUGAAGUUUUUAUCUUGUAAUGAAGGUUUAAAAAAUUUAACUAAUCAGCAAAAAAAAGACGAGGCAUACUUCCAGACAUUGUUGAGAACUGUGGAGGAGACACCUGGCUUGUAUUAUUCCUAUGAAACUGAUAUUACACUAAACUUGCAGAGACGAUACAAGAUGGCUGAUGGGUGGAUGAGUAAACCGAUUUGGAAGCAGGCUGACCCACGCUUUGUUUGGAACAGGAAUAUCUUAGAGGAGCUAAUUGAGAAUAAGGUCGAUGAGUUCAUUGUGCCGCUAUUACAAGGAAGCUUCCAGAUGGGACAGCUGAAGCUAAAUAAUUUAACAUCCACAAUUACAUUAAUAUCAAGGAGGUGCACAAGGCGUCUUGGUACUAGAAUGUGGAGACGCGGAGCAAAUCUAGAAGGGGAUACUGCUAAUUUUAUUGAAACCGAACAACUGCUGGAGUAUGACAAAUUCAAGUCAUCAUUUUUGCAGGUUCGAGGUUCGAUUCCGCUCUUGUGGGAGCAAAUUGUUGAUUUGAGUUAUAAACCUCAUCUUUCUGUCAUCGAGCAUGAAGAUACGCCCAUGGUUGUUAAACGCCACUUUCAUGAUCUUAUGCAAAGAUAUGGAAAUACAAUUGCUGUUGACUUAACUGAUAAGCACGGUAAUGAGGGCCAACUAAGCCUUGCAUUUGCCACCGAAAUGGAAAAGCUGCCGGAUGUUAGAUAUGUGUCAUUUGAUUUCCAUCAACGCUGUGGCGGAUCAAAUUUUGAAAGUUUGAAACUUCUCUACGAUGAAAUAGCCGAUGACUUUGACAAACAAGGCUCAGCAGAUACUUCCUCCAAACCAGUGACGGAGAGUUGGUAGAAGAGCAGAAAGGAGUAGUUCGAUCCAACUGUAUCGAUUGCCUUGACCGAACAAAUGUUACCCAGAGCUAUCUUGCACGAAUAUCGUUGAAUCAACAGUUGCAACGGAUGUGUGCGCUAACAUCUUCAGAACACGUUUGUACUUUCACAGGGGAUGAAGAUCUCGAGAUUUACAGAAACUUGUGGGUGAAUCAAGGUGAUGAGAUCAGCCUCGAGUAUUCCGGAACAAAUGCUCUAAAAGGAGAUAUCGUCAGAUAUGGGAAACAAACUAUAUCUGGAUUGAUAAAAGAUGGGAUUAGUGCUCUUUCGAGAUAUUAUUUAAAUAAUUUUCAAGAUGGAAUUCGACAGGAUGCAAUCGACCUGAUUUCCGGAAAUUAUACCGUCAGCGGAAACAGGCCUUCCCCGUUUCAGCUAAACAAGUUUGAGUCACGGACUUUAUUUCCGGUGGCAUCGGUUCUAUUGAUUGGAAGCUUGACAGUUACAUCCAUUACUCUUAACCGAGCGAGUCAAAAUGCGCAGACGGUAAUAUCUUCGGUUAUAUGUGCUGGUGCAACUGCAGGAAUGAUGGCUCUGGUAAAGGCAAAUGGAAGGCAAAUCUGUUCGAGGCCUCGUCUUUGCGGCCUUUUAUAAAUACAUUUCAUGUUAGUCGUAGUAUUUCAUGUCAUGGGGUUGACACUUUGUAUGUUUUAAUAAUGCUGAAAUGAAAUUUGAAAAUGUAUGGUUUUAUUUGAAAUUUCAUAUAUGGAAUGUAAAUUUACAUUUUUUUUUA